This is a non-coding RNA of Heterocephalus glaber (naked mole-rat), 866 nucleotides long. NCBI's taxonomy places the organism in Eukaryota, Metazoa, Chordata, Mammalia, Rodentia, Bathyergidae. The record is from RefSeq and is a predicted model, not a curated record.
UAGAGAGAAAGAAAUGGAUAAGGCCAAAGUUUGAGGAGGAACAGGAUAUUAUCUCCCUGUAAGAUUCUCAUUAAUUACAAAGAAGAAGGUGCAAUUGUACAGUGGAGAAACCAGGAAGACAUCAUGUUGACUAAGCAAGGGUGUGAACAUCACCAGGAAGGAGACACAGUGGCAUCAGUUACCUCCUAUGUGCCACACUAAAGAGGGAGCAUUGCUUCUGUGGGGCCUUGCCCUAAAUGGACAGCUCCAGUCUCAUGACAAGGAAAACACCAAACAUCCAAACUGGUAACUGGCCAGCAUUUGUCAAAAGUGUUAAGAGUAUAAAGAACUAAUAAAGACAGAGGAACUGCCAAGGAUUACAGGAGACUAAGGAGACAUGACAACUACAUCUGAUGUGGGAUCCUGGCUCAGAAAAAGGCCAUCAGUGAGACAUCUCAUGACAUUUGAGCCUUGUCCCUGUUGAGUGUGCUGGGCGUCAGGCUGAGGGCAGUGUCUUUGUUGGGGCCGGGAUGUGGUGACCAAGAUGAGUGAAUAAAGCUGGAAGAGAGACAGUGAGGUCUGAGGCAAAGUGCAGGCGGAAACCAAAGGCAACGAGAAAACAGAAGCCUCGAGAAGAGUGAAUUGACCAGUUCAAGGUUUAUUAAACUCCAGAGUAUUUAAAACAGCCCCCAUGGUGGCAUGUGCCGGUAGCAGUCCCAGCUACUUGGGAAGCCAAGGGAGAAGUUCCGGACCUCAGGAGUUCAAUGUCAGCCUGGGCAACAUAGCAAGACCCUGUCUUAUUACAAAUCAAAAUUUAAAAGUAUUUAAAAUAAAAACAAGUCAAUAAAAACCUACGAAUUCCUCAUACCUCUCAAUUCCUUGAAAAG